RNAcentral lists this ribosomal RNA (408 nucleotides) under uncultured bacterium. RNAcentral's name for it is "partial 16S ribosomal RNA". It matches the Rfam family "Bacterial small subunit ribosomal RNA", at positions 29 to 526 of the family's 1533-position model. The record is from RNAcentral.
AGUGAACGCUGGCGGCGUGCCUAAUACAUGCAAGUCGAACGGAGUGGCGCACGGGUGAGUAAUGUAUAGCUAAUCUGCCCUACACUAGAGGACAACAGUUGGAAACGACUGCUAAUACUCUAUAGUGUAGGAUGAGGCUAUCUUGUAUCAGCUAGUUGGUGAGGGAAUGGCUCACCAAGGCUAUGACGCAUAACUGGGCUGUGAGGAUGAGCAGUCACCCUGGAAGUGAGACACCGUGCAGGCUUCUGCGGGAAGCAGCGGUAGGGAAUAUUGCUCAAGGGGGGAAACCCUGAAGCAGCAACGCGGCGUGGAGGAUGAUACUUUUCGGAGCGUAAACUCCUUUUGUUAGGGAAGCGUUACCUAACGAAUAAGCACCGGCUAACUCCGUGCCAGCAGCCGCGGUAAUUC